AUUGAACGCUGGCGGCAGGCCUAACACAUGCAAGUCGAGCGGAUGAAGGGAGCUUGCUCCUGGAUUCAGCGGCGGACGGGUGAGUAAUGCCUAGGAAUCUGCCUGGUAGUGGGGGAUAACGUCCGGAAACGGGCGCUAAUACCGCAUCCGUCCUGAGGGAGAAAGUGGGGGAUCUUCGGACCUCACGCUAUCAGAUGAGCCUAGGUCGGAUUAGCUAGUUGGUGGGGUAAAGGCCUACCAAGGCGACGAUCCGUAACUGGUCUGAGAGGAUGAUCAGUCACACUGGAACUGAGACACGGUCCAGACUCCUACGGGAGGCAGCAGUGGGGAAUAUUGGACGAUGGGCGAAAGCCUGAUCCAGCCAUGCCGCGUGUGUUAAGAAGGUCUUCGGAUUGUAAAGCACUUUAAGUUGGGAGGAAGGGCAGUAAGUUAAUACCUUGCUGUUUUGACGUUACCAACAGAAUAAGCACCGGCUAACUUCGUG
RNAcentral lists this ribosomal RNA (484 nucleotides) under uncultured bacterium. RNAcentral's name for it is "partial 16S ribosomal RNA". It matches the Rfam family "Bacterial small subunit ribosomal RNA", at positions 30 to 507 of the family's 1533-position model. The record is from RNAcentral.